UUCUGAUUCUUAUUCUUUCUUAUGGCGGAAGAGGGUGUUGAGAGGGGUUCCCUUGCUGUUGGUUCUGUUGAAUCAGGAGCAUUAAAUCUUUUUUGUUUUUUUUUGAGACAGAAUCUCACUCUGUCACCCAGGCUGGAGUACAGUGGUGCAAUCUCAGCUCUCUGCAACCUCCACCUCCUGGGUUUAAGCGAUUCUCCUGCCUCAGCCUCCCGAGUAGCUGGGAUUAUAGGCACCUGCCACCACGCCUGGC
This 250-nucleotide long non-coding RNA is filed under the name Homo sapiens (human). RNAcentral's name for it is "non-protein coding lnc-ABHD6-3:1". Lineage: Eukaryota; Metazoa; Chordata; Mammalia; Primates; Hominidae. The record is from RNAcentral.